RNAcentral lists this ribosomal RNA (551 nucleotides) under Bifidobacterium animalis subsp. lactis. RNAcentral describes it as "bacterial SSU rRNA". It matches the Rfam family "Bacterial small subunit ribosomal RNA", at positions 145 to 697 of the family's 1533-position model. Lineage: Bacteria; Bacillati; Actinomycetota; Actinomycetes; Bifidobacteriales; Bifidobacteriaceae. The record is from RNAcentral.
UUCUCCUGGAAAACGGGUGGUAAUACCGGAUGCUCCGCUCCAUCGCAUGGUGGGGUGGGAAAUGCUUUUGCGGCAUGGGAUGGGGUCGCGUCCUAUCAGCUUGUUGGCGGGGUGAUGGCCCACCAAGGCGUUGACGGGUAGCCGGCCUGAGAGGGUGACCGGCCACAUUGGGACUGAGAUACGGCCCAGACUCCUACGGGAGGCAGCAGUGGGGAAUAUUGCACAAUGGGCGCAAGCCUGAUGCAGCGACGCCGCGUGCGGGAUGGAGGCCUUCGGGUUGUAAACCGCUUUUGUUCAAGGGCAAGGCACGGUUUCGGCCGUGUUGAGUGGAUUGUUCGAAUAAGCACCGGCUAACUACGUGCCAGCAGCCGCGGUAAUACGUAGGGUGCGAGCGUUAUCCGGAUUUAUUGGGCGUAAAGGGCUCGUAGGCGGUUCGUCGCGUCCGGUGUGAAAGUCCAUCGCCUAACGGUGGAUCUGCGCCGGGUACGGGCGGGCUGGAGUGCGGUAGGGGAGACUGGAAUUCCCGGUGUAACGGUGGAAUGUGUAGAUAU